GAAAACCAAAGUGUAAAGGUUUUUGGAUUGUGAGCCCAGAAAACAAUCCAACUGUAAUCCGCGGGAUUAUAGUGAAUUUCCAAGGGGUCGCUUGGGGAGUGGACGUAGGUGCUUAGGAGAGCACCGAACCACUAUACUUCUUGUUGUUUGUAUUGUGCUUUGUUUAAUUCCACUAACUCAUCAAUUGACAUAAGUAAGAUAGUUAAAAUUAAGAGAAACCAAUUCACCCCCCCUCUUGGCUUAUCACCUUGGGCAACAAGUGGUAUCAGAGCAAGGUGCUCCAAUAGUACUUAUUGAUCUCACAAUCAAGAGUUAAAGAUCAUGACAACCCAAGUGGGAUGUUCUAUGAGUGAGGGGCAAUCCACAAAUAGACCUUCUCUAUUUAAUGGCACAAAUUACAUAUACUGAAAAGCUAGGUUGAGGAUAUUCAUUCAAGCUCUGGACUAUGAAUUGUGGUAUAUUAUUACUAGAGGACCUCACACACCCACAAUUAGUAUAGAGGGCACUAUCAUACCCAAACCAGAAAUGGAUUGGA
This 535-nucleotide long non-coding RNA is filed under the name Phoenix dactylifera (date palm). RNAcentral's name for it is "long non-coding RNA (PDAC_LNC012624)". The record is from RNAcentral. Lineage: Eukaryota; Viridiplantae; Streptophyta; Magnoliopsida; Arecales; Arecaceae.